This 76-nucleotide transfer RNA is filed under the name Gracilibacillus halophilus YIM-C55.5. Its description in RNAcentral is "tRNA-His". It matches the Rfam family "tRNA". From Rfam's summary of the family: Transfer RNA (tRNA) molecules are approximately 80 nucleotides in length. Lineage: Bacteria; Bacillati; Bacillota; Bacilli; Caryophanales; Bacillaceae. The record is from RNAcentral.
GCGAUCGUGGUGAAGUGGUUAACACAUCGGAUUGUGGUUCCGACAUGCGUGGGUUCGAACCCCACCGGUCGCCCCA